RNAcentral lists this ribosomal RNA (253 nucleotides) under uncultured prokaryote. RNAcentral describes it as "partial 16S ribosomal RNA". It matches the Rfam family "Bacterial small subunit ribosomal RNA", at positions 525 to 777 of the family's 1533-position model. The record is from RNAcentral.
ACGGAGGGUGCUAGCGUUGUUCGGAAUCACUGGGCGUAAAGGGCGCGUAGGCGGCUGUGGCAGUCGGGUGUGAAAGCCCGGAGCUCAACUCCGGAACGGCACUCGAGACGCCAUGGCUGGAGGCCGGAAGAGGAGGGUGGAAUACCCAGUGUAGAGGUGAAAUUCGUAGAUAUUGGGUGGAACACCGGUGGCGAAAGCGGCUCUCUGGUCCGGACCUGACGCUGAGGCGCGAAAGCGUGGGGAGCAAACAGGA